GACGAACGCUGGCGGCGUGCUUAACACAUGCAAGUCGAACGGUGACGAAUGGAGCUUGCUCUGUUCUGAUCAGUGGCGAACGGGUGAGUAACACGUGAGUAACCUGCCCCUGACUCUGGAAUAACUUCGGGAAACCGAAGCUAAUACCGGAUAUGACACAGAGCCGCAUGGUUUCUGUGUGGAAAGUUUUUCGGUUGGGGAUGGACUCGCGGCCUAUCAGCUUGUUGGUGAGGUAAUGGCUCACCAAGGCGACGACGGGUAGCCGGCCUGAGAGGGUGUACGGCCACGACUGGGACUGAGAUACGGCCCAGACUCCUACGGGAGGCAGCAGUCGGGAGUCUUGCACAAUGGGGGAAACCCUGAUGCAGCGACGUCGCGUGUGGGAUGACGUAUUUCGGUAUGUAAACCACUUUUGAAUGGGACGAAGACAGUGACGGUACCAUUACGAAUAAAGCCCCGGCUAACUACGUGCCAAGCAGCCGCGGUAAGAUCACGUGUA
This 499-nucleotide ribosomal RNA is filed under the name uncultured bacterium. Its description in RNAcentral is "bacterial SSU rRNA". It matches the Rfam family "Bacterial small subunit ribosomal RNA", at positions 28 to 531 of the family's 1533-position model. The record is from RNAcentral.